RNAcentral lists this ribosomal RNA (439 nucleotides) under uncultured bacterium. RNAcentral's name for it is "SSU rRNA". It matches the Rfam family "Bacterial small subunit ribosomal RNA", at positions 24 to 463 of the family's 1533-position model. The record is from RNAcentral.
UCAGGAUGAACGCUAGCGGCAGGCCUAACACAUGCAAGUCGAGGGGUAUAAGGAGCUUGCUCCUUAGAGACCGGCGCACGGGUGCGUAACGCGUAUGCAAUCUACCUUGUACAGAGGAAUAGCCCAGAGAAAUUUGGAUUAAUGCCUCAUAGUAUAUUGGGUCGGCAUCGACCUAUUAUUAAAGAUUUAUCGGUACAAGAUGAGCAUGCGUCCCAUUAGUUAGUUGGUAAGGUAACGGCUUACCAAGACGAUGAUGGGUAGGGGUCCUGAGAGGGAGAUCCCCCACACUGGUACUGAGACACGGACCAGACUCCUACGGGAGGCAGCAGUGAGGAAUAUUGGGCAAUGGAGGCAACUCUGACCCAGCCAUGCCGCGUGCAGGAAGACGGUCCUAUGGAUUGUAAACUGCUUUUAUACGGGAAGAAACACCACUACGUGU